Nicotiana attenuata is the source of this 917-nucleotide long non-coding RNA. RefSeq lists it as uncharacterized. The transcript has 4 exons. NCBI's taxonomy places the organism in Eukaryota, Viridiplantae, Streptophyta, Magnoliopsida, Solanales, Solanaceae. The record is from RefSeq and is a predicted model, not a curated record.
UCUUUUCAAGGGCAUUUUGGAAAAAUUGUAAACCUUUUGGCCUAAGUCACGUGCUAACCCUGCUUUAGUUUUGACACGUUCUUUUGCACCGCUCAAACGACCAGACACUGGUUCUUCCUCCAGCUUUGCGUUUCUACGCUGUUCUUCCUCGAAGUUGUGACAGCUGCUCAACUCCUCUUCCAAUUUCCUUCGUCUCUCUCAAUCUUCUCUUUUCCUGGAAAAUUUAUUCGUGUUGGUUGUACAGUUAUAUGGUGGACAAUCAUUUGAGGCUAUCACAGGAAGAUGGUUGUUUCAAUUAAGGAAGAUGGCUGCACAUUUUAGCUUUCAAUAUGUCACUUCAAGCUUUGUUGCUGCUCUCUAGCAAGCAGAGUAUGUUCAUAGGCUUCUCUUCUAUCUAUACUUAAGAUUGGAUGUCAAUUUUAACUGAACAUAGCCCGAUAUAGUUUGUUCUUUCGUUGCAAAUGUUAUUUGGCUCAAUAUAGAUGUUCAGGUUGCAUCUGCAGGUACGAACAUGCUUCAUAUAAUUAUUCUUCUGAAGGUAUUUUCUUGAGUUCCAAGCCUGAGCUACUACAGUUGAAGAUAUGUUGCAUAAAUACAAUAUGUGAUACAUUAUUGAUAGAAACUUAAUGCGAUCAAAAUCAUCGGAUCACAUGGCUUCUAUCGAUCUGGUUUGGCUGCCCCAGAGGCUGGGUUGGCUUAACGUUCUUUUGAGCAAAACUUUAUGAUGUGUAUAUUUUUUAGUACCCUAGACACCGUUCUAGGUAACUAUUACGUCUCUUGUGGGUUUGUAUAUAUUUGGAAGGACUAGAUUUACUGUUGCUAAAGUAAAUAUUAGUUCAUUCUAUAUGGGACUAGAUGGACUAGAUUUACUGUUACUAAAGUGAUAUUAAUUUCUAUAUCUCAUUAUUUAUUCUUCA